This 91-nucleotide transfer RNA is filed under the name Candidatus Solibacter sp. RNAcentral describes it as "tRNA-Ser". It matches the Rfam family "tRNA". Rfam says of the family: Transfer RNA (tRNA) molecules are approximately 80 nucleotides in length. Their secondary structure includes four short double-helical elements and three loops (D, anti-codon, and T loops). Lineage: Bacteria; Pseudomonadati; Acidobacteriota; Terriglobia; Bryobacterales; Solibacteraceae. The record is from RNAcentral.
GGUGAGGUGCGAGAGUGGCUGAAUCGGGCGGUCUCGAAAACCGCUGUACCCGUUUCGGGUACCGUGGGUUCGAAUCCCACCCUCACCGCCA